CCGUUGCCUUUGAGCCUCCGCUGCGCUGCGCUUGCCGGUGACGUUGCCAGGGGUGGGGGACCGGGGUAGGGGUGUUGUCAGGCUGCAGCGCCAGAGCACCAGCUUGCGCAUAACUGGGGCUGUCUGCUCUCUGCCUGCAGGCCCUUUUAAUCGCAAGUGACAGGG
Small nucleolar RNA from Rhinolophus ferrumequinum (greater horseshoe bat), 165 nucleotides. The record is from Ensembl. Lineage: Eukaryota; Metazoa; Chordata; Mammalia; Chiroptera; Rhinolophidae.